Molecule: small nuclear RNA, 150 nt
Filed under: Trichuris muris
Lineage: Eukaryota; Metazoa; Nematoda; Enoplea; Trichinellida; Trichuridae
Description: snRNA TMUE_0100000283
Rfam family: U12 minor spliceosomal RNA
About the family: Although the U12 sequence is very divergent from that of U2, the two are functionally analogous.
Source: RNAcentral
GUGCUUGAACAUGAAGAGUAAGGAAAUGAUAUGCUCAGAAGUGACUGUCUGGGUGCAGUGACGUUGUCACACGAAAUUUUUGGAAGGGUACUGGUCUCCCGCGGCGGUUAGUCUACUUUCACUAAUUGCUGGCAGUGUGAGAUCAUCCCU